UGUUGGUUGCUUGAGAAAUAGAUCUUCUAAAGUAAUAAUAGCCUUUAGCUCUUCAUAGAAUUAGCUGCCUAUAGUUUCCAAAGAACGAUAUCAAAAAAAUGAGAUUGUAUGAUUCUUCUCAUUAUGUGCCAAAGUAUAAAGAAAUUUGGCCAAUUUUUUUUCAACACUGCUAUUUUUAUUAUUCUUGAGUCUACCGGUGCCUCUAGGUAUUUCACACAACUUGGCAAAUAAAUAAGGCCCCAGACGAAGUAAGUCACGACAAUGCUCACUAUUAGAAAUCUGUUCCAUUAAUUUUUGGCGUUCACUUUCUCUUUCUCCAUUAUUGUUGUUGAUUGCUUUAUCUACAUAGUUUGAAUUAAUAAAUCCUUCCAUCAAAUGCGUGGAAUAGAC
Molecule: long non-coding RNA, 390 nt
Filed under: Elaeis guineensis (African oil palm)
Lineage: Eukaryota; Viridiplantae; Streptophyta; Magnoliopsida; Arecales; Arecaceae
Description: long non-coding RNA (EGUI_LNC023320)
Source: RNAcentral